Molecule: unclassified non-coding RNA, 506 nt
Filed under: Melitaea cinxia (Glanville fritillary)
Lineage: Eukaryota; Metazoa; Arthropoda; Insecta; Lepidoptera; Nymphalidae
Description: misc RNA ENSMCXG00005008763.1
Source: RNAcentral
CGUUAGUAUGUCACGAGGCUUCAUACAGUAACUUUGCUUAUAAAAUGCCGUCUUGUGUGAUUAAAUGGUGCAAAAACAAUACCAAAGUAAACAAAAAAAUCUGAAGGAAUAUCGUUUCACACGUUUCCAACGAAUAUUUUAAUAAGCGGUGAAUGGUUAGCGGCUGUAAGACUGAGAAAAUGACCACGAUUAUGCUGGCCAUGCGCAUAAAGUCAAUUUAAUACAAUUAGUGAUUGAAAAAUAUUUGAACAUAAGACUAUAUCAUAUUAGUAAAAUGCAAACAAUGACGAUGACUCUGAGUUCUAAGCGACAAAAAUUUAAAAAACUUAUACAACAUAAAGGAUUCUAGGUUUAAGAAAAAUAGUUAAAAAAAAACCGACUGCAAACUGAAAAUAGGUUAAACAGAGGGGAUAGGAAGUGUCCAUUCAUACGAUUAUCUUACGAAUAUUUUUUUUUAUUAUUCUACCGAUUUUUUGUUUUAUUUUUAGUAAAUUUAUAUAAAACUA